This 584-nucleotide ribosomal RNA is filed under the name uncultured bacterium. Its description in RNAcentral is "bacterial SSU rRNA". It matches the Rfam family "Bacterial small subunit ribosomal RNA", at positions 867 to 1451 of the family's 1533-position model. The record is from RNAcentral.
CUCCNCCUGGGGAGUACGACCGCAAGGUUGAAACUCAAAGGAAUUGACGGGGGCCCGCACAAGCGGNGGAGCAUGUGGUUUAAUUCGAAGCAACGCGAAGAACCUUACCAGGUCUUGACAUCCCUCUGACCGCUCUAGAGAUAGAGUUUUCCUUCGGGACAGCGGUGACAGGUGGUGCAUGGUUGUCGUCAGCUCGUGUCGUGAGAUGUUGGGUUAAGUCCCGCAACGAGCGCAACCCCUAUUGUUAGUUGCCACCAUUCAGUUGGGCACUCUAGCGAGACUGCCGGUAAUAAACCGGAGGAAGGUGGGGAUGACGUCAAAUCAUCUUGCCCCUUAUGACCUGGGCUACACACGUGCUACAAUGGCUGGUACAACGAGUCGCAAGCCGGUGACGGCAAGCUAAUCUCUUAAAGCCAGUCUCAGUUCGGAUUGUAGGCUGCAACUCGCCUACAUGAAGUCGGAAUCGCUAGUAAUCGCGGAUCAGCACGCCGCGGUGAAUACGUUCCCGGGCCUUGUACACACCGCCCGUCACACCACGAGAGUUUGUAACACCCGAAGUCGGUGAGGUANCCUUUUAGGAGCCA